Suricata suricatta (meerkat) is the source of this 609-nucleotide long non-coding RNA. RefSeq lists it as uncharacterized. The transcript is spliced from 2 exons. NCBI's taxonomy places the organism in Eukaryota, Metazoa, Chordata, Mammalia, Carnivora, Herpestidae. The record is from RefSeq and is a predicted model, not a curated record.
UCAGUCAGUCUAAAGUGAAGAGAGAAAUUGGAAUGGCAUGAACAUUAGGGUUCCAAGAAGCAGAUCUGAGGUCACAAAACACUUGGCUCUGCCAAACCAAAGCCCAGGCUGAGAACACCCACCUGGGAUGGCUCAGAAUUUAUCUCAAAUUUGAUCUUUUUCUUUUUACGUUACCUCAAAUUCUGAUAUAAUGCCAAAAAUACAACCAAGUUCGUAAACUGGAUGACCAAGGCUUCCUGUUGAAAAGCAGCUCCAAUUUACAUCCACUGUUGUUGCUCCUGGUUCCUGUCCUAUCCUGGCCCCCCAAGAAAUGCCUUAAUUUCUUAAUCAUUUUGAUGAUCUUGUUCUCAUUGGUUUAAUGUAUUUCUCUGUUCUUGUUUCUUGUCCUUACAUCAAAUGCUCUGUGUCCUUCUUUCAUUAUAUGUCUGUUUGGAAAAUUAGGCUUUACUAUUUUCCAACAUUGCUUGCUACCUCCAUGAUUUUAGGAUGAUACUUUUACCAGUUCUCAAAUAUUGCCAGAAGGAACCAAUUAACAUUUUCUCUAGACUUUAUCUUGGAAAUAAAAAGAUAAUAAAUAAUUUUCCUCACACUACAAAAUGGAAUAGAAAA